This 225-nucleotide long non-coding RNA is filed under the name Nicotiana benthamiana. RNAcentral's name for it is "long non-coding RNA (NBEN_LNC017153)". Lineage: Eukaryota; Viridiplantae; Streptophyta; Magnoliopsida; Solanales; Solanaceae. The record is from RNAcentral.
UGGUGUUGUCUGUGAAUACUUGACCUGACUGUAGUCUGUUUGUUGGUUGUUGUGUUUGAAUGAAUACCUGUUUUGGUAGUAUUCUGUUUGUUGAAAAGUUGUUCAUUUAAGCCGGUUCAUUAACUAUGGCUUCUAGCACAAACAUUGGUGCCUCUCCUGCUGUAGACUCUUCUAGUCCCCUUUUUGUGUACUCGUCUGAUGUCCCUGGGGUAUCACUUGUUCCCA